Molecule: ribosomal RNA, 254 nt
Filed under: uncultured bacterium
Lineage: Bacteria
Description: partial 16S ribosomal RNA
Rfam family: Bacterial small subunit ribosomal RNA
Source: RNAcentral
CACGUAGGGGGCGAGCGUUGUCCGGAUUUAUUGGGCGUAAAGGGCUCGUAGGCGGCUCAGUAAGUCGGGUGUGAAACCUCCAGGCUCAACCUGGAGACGCCACUCGAUACUGCUGUGGCUAGAGUCCGGUAGGGGAGCAUGGAAUUCCUGGUGUAGCGGUGAAAUGCGCAGAUAUCAGGAAGAACACCCGUGGCGAAGGCGGCUCUCUGGGACGGUACUGACGCUGAGACGCGAAAGCGUGGGGAGCGAACAGG